RNAcentral lists this ribosomal RNA (306 nucleotides) under Triticum aestivum (bread wheat). Its description in RNAcentral is "partial small subunit ribosomal RNA". Lineage: Eukaryota; Viridiplantae; Streptophyta; Magnoliopsida; Poales; Poaceae. The record is from RNAcentral.
AUGAAUCACUUUCUGAGAGGUAUUUGGGCUUACCUUGGGUUGUUGGUAAAUCAAAAAAACAACGCCUUCAGGUACAUCAAGGAUAGGUUGUGGGGUAAAGUCCGGGGCUGGAUCGAGAGGUGUAUGGCUUCAGCUGGGAAGGAAAUCUUAAUUAAGUCAGUAGCUCAAGCUGUGCCCAACUUUUCAAUGUCUUGUUUCCUCUUACCGAGGGGUUUAUGCCAAUACAUUGACACUAUGUUGAGGAAAUUUUUCUGGGCAGCAAGGAAGGCGAAAGGAAGGUGGCAUGGGUGUCUUGGGACGUUCUGA